AUACUUACCUGGCAGGGGAGAUACCAUGAUCGUGAAGAUUUUUUCCCAGUGCGAGGCUUAUCCAUUGUACUCCAGAUGUGCUGACCCCUGCAAUUUCCCCAAAUGUGGAAAACUUGACUGCAUAAUUUGUGGUAGUGGGGGACUGCGUUCGAGCUUUCCCCUG
This is a small nuclear RNA of Tupaia belangeri (northern tree shrew), 163 nucleotides long. Its record names the gene U1. It matches the Rfam family "U1 spliceosomal RNA". Rfam says of the family: U1 is a small nuclear RNA (snRNA) component of the spliceosome (involved in pre-mRNA splicing). Its 5' end forms complementary base pairs with the 5' splice junction, thus defining the 5' donor site of an intron. NCBI's taxonomy places the organism in Eukaryota, Metazoa, Chordata, Mammalia, Scandentia, Tupaiidae. The record is from Ensembl.